Molecule: transfer RNA, 95 nt
Filed under: Chloroflexota bacterium
Lineage: Bacteria; Bacillati; Chloroflexota
Description: Chloroflexi bacterium tRNA-OTHER
Source: RNAcentral
GGGAACGUAGUGACUCUGGUCUCGACACUCGUCGAGAUCAAGCAUCGAAUGACUCAAUCAGGGGGUCGCGGGUUCGAAUCCCGCCGUCUCCACCA